ACUGUGGGUGCUAAGGUUCAUAGUCGAAAGGGAAACAGCCCAGACCGCCAGCUAAGGUCCCUAAGUUAUGGCUAAGUGGAAAAGGAAGUGAGAAGGCCAAGACAACCAGGAGGUUGGCUUAGAAGCAGCCAUCCUUUAAAGAAAGCGUAACAGCUCACUGGUCUAGAUUUAAGCCAUCUCGCGCCGAAGAUGUACCGGGGCUCAAGCCAUACACCGAAGCUGCGGACGCAUGCUUGCAUGCGUGGUAGCGGAGCGUUCCGUAAGCCUGUGAAGGUGUACCGCGAGGUAUGCUGGAGGUAUCGGAAGUGAGAAUGCUGACAUGAGUAGCGAUAAACAGUGUGAGAAACACUGUCGCCGAAAGUCCAAGGGUUCCUGUGCAAGGUUAAUCCGCGCAGGGUGAGUCGGCCCCUAAGGCGAGGGCGAAAGCCGUAGUCGAUGGGAAUCAGGUUAAUAUUCCUGAACCUGCUGGUGGUGACGAAUGCCGUAAGUUGUUCUUCCUUAUUGGAUUGGAAGGGCUGCGAAGGCGUUCCAGGAAAUAGCCCCAGCAUUAUAGACCGUACCCGAAACCGACACAGGUGGACAGGAAGAGAAUACCAAGGCGCUUGAGAGAACGGUGUUGAAGGAACUCGGCAAAAUUCCCCCGUAACUUCGGGAUAAGGGGGCCCCACAUCCGGGCAACCGGAUGUGGGGGGCACAGACUUGGGGGUGGCGACUGUUUACUAAAAACGUAGGGCUCUGCGAAGUCGCAAGACGACGUAUAGGGUCUGACGCCUGCCCGGUGCCGGAAGGUUAAGGAGAAGGGUGAGAGCUCUGAACCGAAGCCCCGGUAAACGGCGGCCGUAACUAUAACGGUCCUAAGGUAGCGAAAUUCCUUGUCGGGUAAGUUCCGACCUGCACGAAUGGCGUAACGACUUCCCCGCUGUCUCCAACACCGACUCAGCGAAAUUGAACUCUCCGUGAAGAUGCGGAGUACCCGCGGUUAGACGGAAAGACCCCGUGCACCUUUACUACAGCUUUGCAGUGGUAUUAGGAGACGAAUGUGUAGGAUAGGCGGAAGCCUUUGAAGCCAUGGCGCCAGUUAUGGUGGAGGCACCCUUGAAAUACCGCCCCUUUGUUUUCUGGUAUCUAACCGUGGCCCGUUAUCCGGGUCCGGGACCCUGCAUGGUGGGUAGUUUGACUGGGGCGGUCGCCUCCCAAAGAGUAACGGAGGCGCGCAAAGGUGGGCUCAGGCUGGUCGGAAAUCAGCUGUGGAGUGCAAUGGCAUAAGCCCGCCUGACUGUGAGAGUGACGGUUCGAGCAGAGACGAAAGUCGGUCAUAGUGAUCCGGUGGUCCCGAGUGGAAGGGCCAUCGCUCAACGGAUAAAAGGUACGCCGGGGAUAACAGGCUAAUACCCCCCAAGAGUCCAUAUCGACGGGGGUGUUUGGCACCUCGAUGUCGGCUCAUCUCAUCCUGGGGCUGGAGCAGGUCCCAAGGGUUUGGCUGUUCGCCAAUUAAAGAGGUACGUGAGCUGGGUUUAGAACGUCGUGAGACAGUUCGGUCCCUAUCUGCCGUGGGUGUUGGAGAAUUGAGAGGAGCUGCCCUUAGUACGAGAGGACCGGGGUGGACGUACCUCUGGUGUACCGGUUGUGACGCCAGUCGCAGCGCCGGGUAGCUAAGUACGGACGGGAUAACCGCUGAAAGCAUCUAAGCGGGAAGCCUCCCUCAAGACGGGUUCUCCCUUGAGAGUCGUGGAAGACCACCACGUUGAUAGGCCGGGUGUGGAAGCGCAGUAAUGUGUGAAGCUAACCGGUCCUAAUCACUCGAUUGACUUGAUUGC
This 1817-nucleotide ribosomal RNA is filed under the name marine metagenome. RNAcentral's name for it is "bacterial LSU rRNA". It matches the Rfam family "Bacterial large subunit ribosomal RNA", at positions 988 to 2925 of the family's 2925-position model. The record is from RNAcentral.